AACGAACGCUGGCGGCAUGCCUAACACAUGCAAGUCGAACGAGACCUUCGGGUCUAGUGGCGCACGGGUGCGUAACGCGUGGGAACCUGCCCUUAGGUUCGGAAUAACUCCCCGAAAGGGGUGCUAAUACCGGAUAAUGUCUUCGGACCAAAGAUUUAUCGCCUUUGGAUGGGCCCGCGUUGGAUUAGCUAGUUGGUAGGGUAAAAGCCUACCAAGGCGACGAUCCAUAGCUGGUCUGAGAGGAUGAUCAGCCACACUGGGACUGAGACACGGCCCAGACUCCUACGGGAGGCAGCAGUGGGGAAUAGUGGACAAUGGGCGAAAGCCUGAUCCAGCAAUGCCGCGUGAGUGAUGAAGGCCUUAGGGUGGUAAAGCUCUUUUACCCGGGAUGAUAAUGACAGUACCGGGAGAAUAAGCUUCGGCUAACUCCGU
This 432-nucleotide ribosomal RNA is filed under the name uncultured bacterium. RNAcentral describes it as "partial 16S ribosomal RNA". It matches the Rfam family "Bacterial small subunit ribosomal RNA", at positions 29 to 506 of the family's 1533-position model. The record is from RNAcentral.